GCCCCAGUAGCUUAGUCCGGUAGAGCAAUUGAUUCGUAAUCAAUAGACCGAGGGUUCAAAUCCCUUCUGGGGCU
This 74-nucleotide transfer RNA is filed under the name Candidatus Woesearchaeota archaeon. RNAcentral's name for it is "tRNA-Thr". It matches the Rfam family "tRNA". Rfam says of the family: Transfer RNA (tRNA) molecules are approximately 80 nucleotides in length. Their secondary structure includes four short double-helical elements and three loops (D, anti-codon, and T loops). The record is from RNAcentral. Lineage: Archaea; Nanobdellati; Candidatus Woesearchaeota.